AUAUAGGACCACUUUGUAGUUCUACAAUUACAGACUGUAGUUCAUCUGUUUCUCUGUAUACUGUUAGACCCUUUCACCCUUCAUGGUUCUUCAGUGGCCAGGACCCCCACAAAGCAAUAGGGGGUGCAAAAUGCUACUGUGCCACGCAGGGGACAACCUGAUGAAGACACUACACUCUGGGGAAAAGAUGGCAUUUAAUUCUACUAUUCCUUAACUGUAUGAAUGUAAUUACCUGUUUUA
Molecule: long non-coding RNA, 240 nt
Organism: Trichomycterus rosablanca
Lineage: Eukaryota; Metazoa; Chordata; Actinopteri; Siluriformes; Trichomycteridae
Exons: 2
Source: RefSeq, a predicted model, not a curated record